UACGUAGGGAGCGAGCGUUGUCCGGAUUUAUUGGGCGUAAAGAGCGCGUAGGCGGUUUGGUAAGUCGGGUGUGAAAGCUCCGGGCUCAACUCGGAGAGGUCACUCGAUACUGCCAUGACUUGAGUCCGGUAGGGGGGUGUGGAAUUCCCAGUGUAGCGGUGAAAUGCGCAGAUAUUGGGAGGAACACCAAUGGCGAAGGCGGUUCUCUGGGACGGUACUGACGCUGAGGUGCGAAAGCGUGGGGAGCAAACAGG
Molecule: ribosomal RNA, 254 nt
Filed under: uncultured bacterium
Lineage: Bacteria
Description: partial 16S ribosomal RNA
Rfam family: Bacterial small subunit ribosomal RNA
Source: RNAcentral